This is a non-coding RNA of Stegodyphus mimosarum, 63 nucleotides long. The record is from Rfam. Lineage: Eukaryota; Metazoa; Arthropoda; Arachnida; Araneae; Eresidae.
CUGUUUUUCAUGAAAGGCUAUGUUGAAACCAUUAUGGCAGUGUAGUUUGGAUGUUCUUAACAC